RNAcentral lists this long non-coding RNA (209 nucleotides) under Elaeis guineensis (African oil palm). RNAcentral's name for it is "long non-coding RNA (EGUI_LNC007547)". Lineage: Eukaryota; Viridiplantae; Streptophyta; Magnoliopsida; Arecales; Arecaceae. The record is from RNAcentral.
AUAUAUUUUACUUAUAAUAAUUCCCAAAAUCCACGAACAUGUGUUCUUAAGAAAAGAAAUAAAAUACAUGAAUCAUGACGAUAAGUCCUCUAAGAAUGAGUAUUAUCUUCCAUGUACCACUAUGCAUUCUAUUUCUUUAAUGUUUGCCCAUCAUCACUUAAUGAAUAAACCUUAUGUUUUUCUGGGUCCUAAUAAUGAUUGUUAUUCUC